Molecule: ribosomal RNA, 560 nt
Filed under: fungal sp. ARIZ B151
Lineage: Eukaryota; Fungi
Description: eukaryotic LSU rRNA
Rfam family: 5.8S ribosomal RNA (bases 196-349)
Source: RNAcentral
UUGGAAGUAAAAGUCGUAACAAGGUUUCCGUAGGUGAACCUGCGGAAGGAUCAUUAUCAAAACAGCGGACUUCGGUCCUUGCUGCACCCUUGUCUUUUGCGUACCGUAUGUUUCCUCGGCGGGCUUGCCUGCCGGUUGGACAUUAUCAAACCUUUUUGUAGUUGCAAUCAGCGUCAGAAAACAAACAAUAAUUACAACUUUCAACAACGGAUCUCUUGGUUCUGGCAUCGAUGAAGAACGCAGCGAAAUGCGAAAAGUAGUGUGAAUUGCAGAAUUCAGUGAAUCAUCGAAUCUUUGAACGCACAUUGCGCCCCUUGGUAUUCCAUGGGGCAUGCCUGUUCGAGCGUCAUUUUGUACCCUCAAGCACUGCUUGGUGUUGGGCGUUUGUCCUGCAAAGGACUCGCCUGAAAGCGAUUGGCGGCCAACGUACUGGUGGUAGAGCGCAGCACAAUUUGCGUCUCUCCCUUCUACGUCGGCGUCCACGAAGCCUUUUUUCAACGUUUGACCUCGGAUCAGGUAGGGAUACCCGCUGAACUUAAGCAUAUCAAUAAGCGGAGGAA